UAAUAAGUGUUUUAUGGCACUUUUUAAAUCCAUAUCCACCUUGUGUGCAAUGUCAGUCGAUCUUCUUCAUGGAGAUCGACCAAACAUCAACCUUUAUUUUUAACUCUUUGUCUGAAAAAUAUUAUGAAUAAACAAUUCAAAUA
RNAcentral lists this unclassified non-coding RNA (143 nucleotides) under soil metagenome. RNAcentral's name for it is "partial internal transcribed spacer 1". The record is from RNAcentral.